CCUACGGGAGGCAGCAGUGGGGAAUAUUGCACAAUGGGGGAAACCCUGAUGCAGCGACGCCGCGUGAGUGAAGAAGUAUUUCGGUACGUAAAGCUCUAUCAGCAGGGAAGAAAAUGACGGUACCUGACUAAGAAGCCCGGGCAAAUACGGUCCCACCAGCGGGGGUAUUUGUAGGGGGCAAGCGUUAUCCGGGUUUACUGGGGGUAAAGGGAGCGUAGACGGGAGGGCAAGUCUGAAGUGAAAUCCCAUGGCGUAACCAGGGAACUGCGUUGGAAACUGUGCAGCUGGAGUGCAGGAGAGGUAAGCGGAAUGCCUAGUGUAGCGGUGAAAUGCGUAGAUAUUAGGAGGAACACCAGUGGCGAAGGCGGCUUACUGGACUGUAACUGACGUUGAGGCUCGAAAGCGUGGGGAGCAAACAGGAUUAGAUACCCUUGUAGUC
RNAcentral lists this ribosomal RNA (439 nucleotides) under uncultured bacterium. RNAcentral describes it as "partial 16S ribosomal RNA". It matches the Rfam family "Bacterial small subunit ribosomal RNA", at positions 338 to 795 of the family's 1533-position model. The record is from RNAcentral.